AUCGAAAUACCAGUCUUCCCUUGAUGAAGCUCUAAGUGAUGUGUGAGCAAUCAGAGCAGUAAUCUUCUUAUCAAGUUGAGUACCAUCACUGGUCUUCACAUUCUUACCUUUAGGUUUCCAUUCUUGUUGAGUGGAGGCAGUUGUGGAAACUGGUUUAGGUUGAUGAUGCCUGUUAGGGUACCCAAACAAUUUGUAACAAAAAGGUCUUAUAUGCCCUUUUCUACCACAGUAGUGACAUAUCCAAGAGUGAUGUUUUCUUCUGUUAUUUGACAAGGGAUGCUGCUUAUGAUGUUGUAGCAUCCGUUGAGGCAUCUUUUG
RNAcentral lists this long non-coding RNA (318 nucleotides) under Trifolium pratense (red clover). RNAcentral describes it as "long non-coding RNA (TPRA_LNC004067)". Lineage: Eukaryota; Viridiplantae; Streptophyta; Magnoliopsida; Fabales; Fabaceae. The record is from RNAcentral.